CAACUUUUAACGGUGGAUCUCUUGGCUCGUGCAUCGAUGAAGAACGCAGCCAGCUGCGAUAAGUAGUGUGAAUUGCAGAAU
RNAcentral lists this ribosomal RNA (81 nucleotides) under Briareum asbestinum (deadman's fingers). RNAcentral describes it as "partial 5.8S ribosomal RNA". It matches the Rfam family "5.8S ribosomal RNA", at positions 1 to 80 of the family's 154-position model. Rfam says of the family: 5.8S ribosomal RNA (5.8S rRNA) is a component of the large subunit of the eukaryotic ribosome. It is transcribed by RNA polymerase I as part of the 45S precursor that also contains 18S and 28S rRNA. Functionally, it is thought that 5.8S rRNA may be involved in ribosome translocation. The record is from RNAcentral. Lineage: Eukaryota; Metazoa; Cnidaria; Anthozoa; Scleralcyonacea; Briareidae.